This 3277-nucleotide long non-coding RNA is filed under the name Homo sapiens (human). Its description in RNAcentral is "HSALNT0273635". Lineage: Eukaryota; Metazoa; Chordata; Mammalia; Primates; Hominidae. The record is from RNAcentral.
UUGUAAUCUAAAUAAUACCAGCAAUUUUUAAUCGGCUCAUUUGUGUUCCAGAAAUGCAGGAUGAUUCAGAAAGGUGAAGUGCUUAGGAUCUCAGAAACAUUUCUUUUUAUCUUUGGCUUUCUUUUUAAAACACUUAAUAUGGUUUGCCUGUGUCCCCACCCAAAUCUCAUCUUGACUUGUAUUUCCCAUAAUCCCCUCGUGGGAGGGACCCAGUAGGAGGUAAUUGAAUCAUGGGGGUGCUUACCCCCAUGCUGCUGUUCUCAUAAGAUCUGAAGGUUUUAUAAGGGGCUUUUUCUCCCUUUUCUCGGCACUUCUCCUUGCUGCUGCCAUGUGAAGAAGAACAUGUUUGCUUCCCCUUCCACCAUGAUUGUAAGUUUCCUGAGUCCUCUCCAGCCCUGCAGAACUGAAGAGACACUCGGUGGAGGAUUCAAGCUGAUACAGGAGCCGUGGAUUGCCACCUGCCUCUUCUCCUAUGCCUGUCAUGAGUACACACACCAGUCCUGUCUGCUGGCCAAGCCCCCUUGCUCCCAGGUGGGAGAACAAUGUGUAGAAGCACAAAUUAUAAACUGAUUCUUGUGUUCUCUAAAGACAGUCUGUUUUUCAGAUCAUGAUUAGGAAUGAGUAAACGGUAAGUCUCAAAGUUUUCAGGGGCUUAUUAUACAGGGCCUAUCAGAGUAAAAAUAGAAAUUACAACAGCCCAACAUGGAAGAAAGUUUUCCUUCCUCACUCCCAAACUUCAAACAGAGUCCGAGGGUUAGGAUGUGGGCGUAGCUUUUUGGGGGGCCACAAUUCAACCCAUUCCAGCUAACUUGAUUGAGUAUUGAUGCCUUUUAAACAAGCAAUGGAGUGAUCAUCGGAGAUGAAGAAGCAAUUUAAGCUCAACCCUCAAAUGCAAACCCUUCCAAAGCAAACAUCCUAGGAGGUGCUACUUGAGUUAACCUCGGAGAUGAUUAACCUGGGUUUUGCACCACUGCCCUGAGCCAUUUUCCACAGAACAGAACAGAACAGAAUUCUUUAUUAUGUUUCUCAAGAUGCUACUUUUCUACACUGCAGUUAUUUCAGGCAUGACUCAUGUUAAAAUGAGUGUGAUAAGAUUUCUUGGUAAAACCCCUGGGAGGCUUUGAGUAGAGAGUUUUUAACAGUAGCUACCCCAAGCAAGGCAGCUGGAGUGGGUUGAAUGGUUCCUCCCCAAAAGAUCAUCCCUGUCCUAACCCUUGGACUCUGACUGUGACCUUAUUUGGAAAAAGAGAGUUUACAGAUGUAACUAAGUUUGAGAUCUCAAAAUGAGGUCACCCUGGAUUACACAAUGGGCCCUAAAGUCAAUUACAGGCAUCCUUAUAAGAGACAGCAGAGAAGACACAGACACAGAGGGGAAGGCCAUGUGAAGGCAGAGAAUGGAGUGACGCAGCCACAAACCAAGCAAUGCCUGGAGCCACCAGAAGCUGGAAGAGGCAAGGAAGGGACUCUUCUUCAGAGGGAGCAGGGCCCUGCCCACACCUUAGCUUCAGACUUCUAGCCUCCAGAACUGGGAGAGAAGAAAUGUCUGUUGUUUGAAGCCACCCAGCUGUGGCACUUUAUUACGGCAGCACGGGAAAUGCAUACAGCCUCCAAAAGAGAACGAAGCCCUUCUGAGAGCUUGAUUCCAGACAUGCAAGACCCUGAGCCCACCGCGCCUGGGUUUCUGCCUACAGAACUGUGAGAUAAUCCAUGGUUGUUUUACGCCACUCCAAUUGCAAUAAGACAGUGAGGAUGUCAUGUGAGUGACCAGCAAGGCAUGUGGCCCAACCAGACAGCCAGGGAAGGCCUUUAACGAGUAACUUGAGGCUGAGAGUGAGGUGGUGAGUUGUGGAGAAAGUCCCAGCUCAGGGUUCACUGUGGACCAACAGCUCUUUACUGUGGGGUACUACCUUCCUGGAGAAUUUCCUGGAGAGUAUAAGGCCUGACGUGGGCCUUCAAAUAUCUCAACAAGAACAAUAAAUCCCUCCAGAAAACCAUAUUACUCCACUUUCUUUCCAAAGGAAAUUCAAGUCUGUUGAAAUGCUUGCUCUAAAACAGUUUCCAGUGAUAUUAAACAAAUUCGUGGCUCUCAGAAUACCUUGGGUGAUGAUCAAUAAGAGUUGUAUGUGCUUUACAUGCUGAUAAUCACACCUAACCCACAGCAUUUGUCUGAUGCCUAAGUGGGCUCAGAUUUGCCCAAGGCUCUGGUCCAAGGACCUCUGAGGGACACAGCCUCGUCACUCAGACAGGAGAGCCCAACUCAGUGACAAACAAAGGCCAAGGGAUUCUGCACAUGAAGACAAAACAGAGUCUUCCUUCUCAACUAGAGAAUGGCUUAUCUAAGAAAAAAAUCAACUGGAGAGAAAAAAAAAGUGAGGAUGUCAGCAUUUAACAGGAAUCUUGAAACUUUGACAGGAAGGGUGACCCUUUUCGGUCAAUCUGAAAUGUAUGCAGACAGGUCACAGAUAUAUUCCAAAUACAUUUUUUUAAUUGCUAAAUAUGUUUAAAGAAGAUUUUUAAAAUAAAACUCAAUGGACCAGUUUAUACACUGCAAAUUCAUUACAUUUUUCCAACCACGCAGAGCUAGGCUUAAACUCAACUAUACUGAAGGUUAAACUCAACUAUUACCAGUGUUAUUCUAUCCCAAAGAAUGAGCCAGGUCUAAGCUGAUGUUUCCUCCUGUUGUGACAAUAAGAACUUUCCCCAUUGUCUUCCACCUUUCCCCUUCUCGCUCCAUUUCCACCUCUCCAUCGCGCAGGGAAGGCAGAUUAGAGUUCACUAGAAACACAAUACCUGAAACAUAAAGGCCUCACACCUACCCGCCUAGGAGUACAGCUCAGAUGAUCUUUCUAAUAAGGAGUGGCAAUGGAGCUUGCAGGCCGAAGAAACUAUAACUUGGGUGUGAUUGACAAGAGCUUAGGCUAACACAUGCCUGCUUCUAUAAUUAUAUUGUUUGUCUAGAGAGAAAAAACAAAAAAACAAUAAAUCAUCCAGCGGUGCAUGACUGGCUUAGUUCUCUGUCUCUCUCUCACUGGGAAACUCACGAUGAAGUUCUUCCAGGAAGAGGUUGCAACCCCACCUGCCCACCAUUCUCCAUGACACCUGUCACUGACCAAGAUGCAAGAAACACAUGGGCCCCUGCAAAAUCUCUCGAUUCAUUUUACUGUUUCUUGGUGAACUGACUUGUAUUAUCUCCCUUUUCGCUACCCUUAUUAGUUUCCUACAAACCACUACAAGUUAGCAGCUUAAAACCACACAUGGCGGGGCGUGGUGGCUCACG